UUUUUUGAUUGAAAACUGGAAUGAAUGGUUGAUACCAACGGGGAUGUUUUAUUUUAUAAGUUUGAAUUUAAAUUAGAAUUAAAAAUGUUUUUAUGAACUCUUGGGACGAGAAGACCCUAGAAGCUUAAAGUUUAUAAACUUUUAAUUGGGGCAAUUUUUGAAGAAAUUAAUUUUUGAUAUGAUUAAAUAAUUAAAAUUAGUUACUCUAGGGAUAACAGCGUAAUUUAAUUGGUAAGUUCUUAUUGAUAAUUAAGUUUGCGACCUCGAUGUUUAAUUAAUU
This 280-nucleotide ribosomal RNA is filed under the name Goniosoma roridum. Its description in RNAcentral is "partial large subunit ribosomal RNA". Lineage: Eukaryota; Metazoa; Arthropoda; Arachnida; Opiliones; Gonyleptidae. The record is from RNAcentral.